Molecule: ribosomal RNA, 304 nt
Filed under: uncultured bacterium
Lineage: Bacteria
Description: bacterial SSU rRNA
Rfam family: Bacterial small subunit ribosomal RNA
Source: RNAcentral
AUUGAACGCUGGCGGCGUGCUUAACACAUGCAAGUCGAGCGGCAGCGCGGUAGCAAUACUGGCGGCGAGCGGCGGACGGGUGAGUAACGCUUGGGAAUCUGCCUAUUAGUGGGGGACAACCCGGGGAAACGUCGGCGUAAUACCGCAUACGCUCUACGGAGGAAAGACCGGGGGCCGGCAAGGCCUGGCGCUAAUAGAUGAGCCCAACGUCGGAUUAGCUAGUUGGUAGGGUAACGGCCUACCAAGGCGACAAUCCGUAGCUGGUCUGAGAGGACGACCAGCCACACCGGAACUGAGACACGGU